CCUGGUUUAGACCUGGUUUAGUCCUGGUUUAGUCCUGGUUUAGACCUGGUUUAGACCUGGUUUAGUCCUGGUUUUAGACCUGUUUUAGUCCUGGUUUAGUCCUGGCGGUUUUAGUCCUGGUUUAGUCCUGGUUUAGACCUGGUUUAGACCUGGUUUAGUCCUGGUUUUAGUCCUGGUUUAGUCCUGGUUUAGACCUGGUUUAGACCUGGUUUAGACCUGGUUUAGACCUGGUUUAGUCCUGGUUUAGUCCUGGUUUAGUUUUAGUUAAACUUUAUUGAUCCGUGGGGGAAAUGUUUUGUUCAGUUUCACGUCACAAAAUAAAAACAAAGAGAAAAAUAUAAAUGUUGAUAAUAAAUUCAAAAUAAAAAGCAAAAAGAAACACGUGUGAAAUAAAACAGAAUUAUACAAAUAUUACAAAUAUAAAACAGAAAAAUAAGAAAAAAUAAAAAUCACAAUUAUAAACAAGAAGUAUUAUCUGUGACAUAAGGGUGAGUUGUACAGUUGUAGGGAGUAUUAUCUGUGACAUAAGGGUGAGUUGUUGUACAGUUGUAGGGAGUAUUAUCUGUUACAUAAGGUGAGUUGUUGUACAGUUGUAGGGAGUAUUAUCUGUGACAUAAGGUGAGUUGUACAGUUGUAGGGAGUAUUAUCUGUGACAUAAGGGUGAGUUGUUGUACAGUUGUAGGGAGUAUUAUCUGUGACAUAAGGGUGAGUUGUUGUAGGGAGUAUUAUCUGUGACAUAAGGGUGAGUUGUUGUACAGUUGUAGGGAGUAUUAUCUGAUACAUAAGGGUGAGUUGUUGUACAGUUGUAGGGAGUAUUAUCUGUUACAUAAGGGUGAGUUGUUGUACAGU
Molecule: long non-coding RNA, 849 nt
Organism: Boleophthalmus pectinirostris (great blue-spotted mudskipper)
Lineage: Eukaryota; Metazoa; Chordata; Actinopteri; Gobiiformes; Gobiidae
Exons: 3
Source: RefSeq, a predicted model, not a curated record